Molecule: ribosomal RNA, 495 nt
Filed under: uncultured bacterium
Lineage: Bacteria
Description: partial 16S ribosomal RNA
Rfam family: Bacterial small subunit ribosomal RNA
Source: RNAcentral
GAUGAACGCUGGCGGCGUGCCUAAUACAUGCAAGUCGAGCGAACAGACGAGGAGCUUGCUCCUCUGACGUUAGCGGCGGACGGGUGAGUAACACGUGGAUAACCUACCUAUAAGACUGGGAUAACUUCGGGAGACCGGAGCUAAUACCGGAUAAUAUAUUGAACCGCAUGGUUCAAUAGUGAAAGACGGUUUUGCUGUCACUUAUAGAUGGAUCCGCGCCGCAUUAGCUAGUUGGUAAGGUAACGGCUUACCAAGGCAACGAUGCGUAGCCGACCUGAGAGGGGGCGCCGCCCCACUGGAACCGGGGACCCGGCCAGACUCCCACGGGAGGCAGGCAGAGGGAAUUCUCCGCAAUGGGCGAAAGGCUGGCGGAGGAACCCCGGGUGAGGGAAGAAGGUUCUCGGAUCGUAAAACCCUUUUAUUAGGGAAAAACAAAUGGUGAAGGAACUAAGCAACUUUUGGCGGGUCCCAAUCAGGAAGCCCAGGGUAACGACC